AAUUUGAAAUUUGAAAUUUGAAGUUUUUGAAAUUUGAAAUUUAAAAUUUAAAAUUUGAAGUUUUUGAAAUUUGAAAUUUGAAAUUUAAAAUUUGAAAUUUAAAAUCAAAAUUAAAUUUGAAUUUUAAAAUUUUGAAAUUUGAAAUCUAAAAUUUUAUGUUGAAAUUUAAAUUUUAUAAAUUGAUACAUCUUUGGAAGCCCAAAAUGGUGGAAUUUUUUUUCCUUUGGUUAAAGUAGAUUGUAAGUUUACUCCAUUUUUUGGUGUAUAGUAUAACUGUACUCCAAAAAUUACGUAAUUUUUUUUUCUUCCAAACACUUCAUAGGAUUAUUUUUCUACCACUAUGCUACAUUUUUAGAGGUAUCCAAACGGGGCCUUAGUAAAUUUACAAACCGAACGAAACCGAUAACC
RNAcentral lists this long non-coding RNA (408 nucleotides) under Ananas comosus (pineapple). RNAcentral's name for it is "long non-coding RNA (ACOM_LNC000507)". Lineage: Eukaryota; Viridiplantae; Streptophyta; Magnoliopsida; Poales; Bromeliaceae. The record is from RNAcentral.